GCGUCGAUGGCGGAGUGGUCAAUCGCACUUGGCUGUAAACCAAGCGACUUCGGUCUGCGCAGGUUCGAAUCCUGCUCGGCGCA
This 83-nucleotide transfer RNA is filed under the name Minisyncoccota bacterium. Its description in RNAcentral is "tRNA-Tyr". It matches the Rfam family "tRNA". Rfam says of the family: Transfer RNA (tRNA) molecules are approximately 80 nucleotides in length. Their secondary structure includes four short double-helical elements and three loops (D, anti-codon, and T loops). The record is from RNAcentral. Lineage: Bacteria; Bacillati; Minisyncoccota.